This 72-nucleotide transfer RNA is filed under the name Camelus bactrianus (Bactrian camel). It matches the Rfam family "tRNA". From Rfam's summary of the family: Transfer RNA (tRNA) molecules are approximately 80 nucleotides in length. Their secondary structure includes four short double-helical elements and three loops (D, anti-codon, and T loops). Further hydrogen bonds mediate the characteristic L-shaped molecular structure. tRNAs have two regions of fundamental functional importance: the anti-codon, which is responsible for specific mRNA codon recognition, and the 3' end, to which the tRNAs corresponding amino acid is attached (by aminoacyl-tRNA synthetases). tRNAs cope with the degeneracy of the genetic code in two manners: having more than one tRNA (with a specific anti-codon) for a particular amino acid; and 'wobble' base-pairing, i.e. permitting non-standard base-pairing at the 3rd anti-codon position. The record is from Rfam by way of RNAcentral. Lineage: Eukaryota; Metazoa; Chordata; Mammalia; Artiodactyla; Camelidae. RNAcentral also lists the same sequence under 2 other names.
GAGGGUAUAGCUCAGUGGUAGAGUGCGUGCUUAACAUGCACAAAGUCCUAGGUUCAAUCCCCAGUACCUCCA